UCCGAUAUCGUCAAACCAUUUGUGGAAAGGAGAGAUUCCCAUGACGUCAAUGCCAUGACGGAAACCCACUCCUCGCCCCCUAUAAAUCUGCCCUCCUGCAGCAAUCGUAUGCGCAUCACGGAAAGGAUGAAGAGAGGCGACGUCGUCGUGCACGGCCAUGGAUUCCUCCUCUUCGCGCUGGUCGUCCUUUUCCUCGUCACUUGUUUUCUCCUACCACCGGCUGCCGACGCACGACCGGCUCCGUCGGAGAAGAAAGACAACUCGGCGUCUGCCGAAACUGGUGUAGCGGGAGGCGUCGUCAAAACGUACCCAGCCAUGUCAACCAGAAAACUGCAGUCGCUAGACCCGACACGUGCAGCUGGCACGGUUACCUACUGCGCGUUAAACCCUAAGUGUGUUCCUCCGCCAUGCGGACCAAACGGGGCUUACACCUGCUCGCCACGUCGUCCGCCUCCGCCUCCGCCGCCAUGACAGGCUAUAUAUAUAUCCUGCGGUGGUAUUGAGCUGAAUCGAGAUACGUACGUCCGUGUCGUGCAGAUCCUUGGACGAGAAACAAGUUGAAGAAAGUAGUAGCUAAACAUAAUAAGAAUAAAUUCGCCUGUUUAUCUA
Long non-coding RNA from Musa acuminata AAA Group (dessert banana), 609 nucleotides. RefSeq lists it as uncharacterized. The record is from RefSeq and is a predicted model, not a curated record. The transcript has 2 exons. Lineage: Eukaryota; Viridiplantae; Streptophyta; Magnoliopsida; Zingiberales; Musaceae.